AAAGGUAGAGAAUGAUCUUUAUUCACCCCACUUACAAUGGGGGUAUCCUAACUUAGGUGCCUUAA
This 65-nucleotide transfer RNA is filed under the name Lissachatina fulica (giant African snail). Its description in RNAcentral is "tRNA-Val". Lineage: Eukaryota; Metazoa; Mollusca; Gastropoda; Stylommatophora; Achatinidae. The record is from RNAcentral.